This 468-nucleotide ribosomal RNA is filed under the name uncultured bacterium. RNAcentral describes it as "partial 16S ribosomal RNA". It matches the Rfam family "Bacterial small subunit ribosomal RNA", at positions 28 to 507 of the family's 1533-position model. The record is from RNAcentral.
GACGAACGCUGGCGGCGUGCUUAACACAUGCAAGUCGAACGGAAAGGCCCUGCUCUUGUGGGGUGCUCGAGUGGCGAACGGGUGAGUAACACGUGAGUAACCUGCCCUUGACUUUGGGAUAACUUCAGGAAACUGGGGCUAAUACCGGAUAGGAGCUCCUGCUGCAUGGUGGGGGUUGGAAAGUUUCGGCGGUUGGGGAUGGACUCGCGGCUUAUCAGCUUGUUGGUGGGGUAGUGGCUUACCAAGGCUUUGACGGGUAGCCGGCCUGAGAGGGUGACCGGCCACAUUGGGACUGAGAGACGGCCCAGACGCCUACGGGAGGCAGCAGUGGGGAAUAUUGCACAAUGGGCGGAAGCCUGAUGCAGCAACGCCGCGUGCGGGAUGACGGCCUUCGGGUUGUAAACCGCUUUCGCCUGUGACGAAGCGUGAGUGACGGUAAUGGGUAAAGAAGCACCGGCUAACUACGUG